This 301-nucleotide ribosomal RNA is filed under the name uncultured bacterium. RNAcentral describes it as "partial 16S ribosomal RNA". It matches the Rfam family "Bacterial small subunit ribosomal RNA", at positions 509 to 807 of the family's 1533-position model. The record is from RNAcentral.
CAGCCGCCACGGUAAUACAGAGGGUGCAAGCGUUAAUCGGAAUUACUGGGCGUAAAGCGCGCGUAUGUGGUUUGUUAAGUUGGAUGUGAAAUCCCCGGGCUCAACCUGGGAACUGCAUCCAAAACUGGCAAGCUAGAGUAUGGUAGAGGGUGGUGGAAUUUCCUGUGUAGCGGUGAAAUGCGUAGAUAUAGGAAGGAACACCAGUGGCGAAGGCGACCACCUGGACUGAUACUGACACUUAGGUGCGAAAGCGUGGGGAGCAAACAGGAUUAGAUACCCCAGUAGUCCCUGUCUCUUAUAC